GGGUUGUGAGGUUAAGCGACUAAGCGUACACGGUGGAUGCCCUGGCAGUCAGAGGCGAUGAAGGACGUGCUAACCAGUAGCGGCGAGCGAACGGGGAGCAGCCCAGAGUCUGAAUCAGCUUGUGUGUUAGUGGAAAAAAAAAACAAUUCGUUGCACUAUCGUUAACUGAAUACAUAGGUUAACGAGGCGAACCGGGGGAACUGAAACAUCUAAGUACCCCGAGGAAAA
Molecule: ribosomal RNA, 228 nt
Filed under: Klebsiella pneumoniae
Lineage: Bacteria; Pseudomonadati; Pseudomonadota; Gammaproteobacteria; Enterobacterales; Enterobacteriaceae
Description: partial 23S ribosomal RNA
Rfam family: Bacterial large subunit ribosomal RNA
Source: RNAcentral